RNAcentral lists this ribosomal RNA (305 nucleotides) under uncultured bacterium. Its description in RNAcentral is "bacterial SSU rRNA". It matches the Rfam family "Bacterial small subunit ribosomal RNA", at positions 338 to 661 of the family's 1533-position model. The record is from RNAcentral.
CCUACGGGGCGCAGCAGUCGGGAAUAUUGCGCAAUGGAGGAAACUCUGACGCAGUGACGCCGCGUAUAGGAAGAAGGUUUUCGGAUUGUAAACUAUUGUCGUGAGGGAAGAAAUUGACAGUACCUCAGGAGGAAGCUCCGGCUAACUAUGUGCCAGCAGCCGCGGUAAUAUAUAGGGAGCAAGCGUUAUCCGGAUUUAUUGGGUUUAAAGGGUGCGUAGGCGGGACGGUAAGUCAGCGGUAAAAAUGCGGAGCUCAACUCCGUCGAGCCGUUGAAACUGCCGUUCUUGAGUGAGCGAGAAGUAUG